RNAcentral lists this ribosomal RNA (465 nucleotides) under Providencia stuartii. RNAcentral's name for it is "partial 23S ribosomal RNA". It matches the Rfam family "Bacterial large subunit ribosomal RNA", at positions 1778 to 2240 of the family's 2925-position model. Lineage: Bacteria; Pseudomonadati; Pseudomonadota; Gammaproteobacteria; Enterobacterales; Morganellaceae. The record is from RNAcentral.
CGCAGAUACCAGCUGGCUGCAACUGUUUAUUAAAAACACAGCACUGUGCAAACACGAAAGUGGACGUAUACGGUGUGACGCCUGCCCGGUGCUGGAAGGUUAAUUGAUGGGGUUAUCCGUAAGGAGAAGCUCUUGAUCGAAGCCCCAGUAAACGGCGGCCGUAACUAUAACGGUCCUAAGGUAGCGAAAUUCCUUGUCGGGUAAGUUCCGACCUGCACGAAUGGCGUAAUGAUGGCCAGGCUGUCUCCACCCGAGACUCAGUGAAAUUGAACUCGCUGUGAAGAUGCAGUGUACCCGCGGCAAGACGGAAAGACCCCGUGAACCUUUACUAUAGCUUGACACUGAACAUUGAGCCUUGAUGUGUAGGAUAGGUGGGAGGCUUUGAAGUGUGGACGCCAGUCUGCAUGGAGCCAACCUUGAAAUACCACCCUUUAAUGUUUGAUGUUCUAACGUGGCCCCAUCAUC